This 465-nucleotide ribosomal RNA is filed under the name Vreelandella stevensii. RNAcentral describes it as "partial 16S ribosomal RNA". It matches the Rfam family "Bacterial small subunit ribosomal RNA", at positions 338 to 795 of the family's 1533-position model. Lineage: Bacteria; Pseudomonadati; Pseudomonadota; Gammaproteobacteria; Oceanospirillales; Halomonadaceae. The record is from RNAcentral.
CCUACGGGAGGCAGCAGUGGGGAAUAUUGGACAAUGGGGGCAACCCUGAUCCAGCCAUGCCGCGUGUGUGAAGAAGGCCCUCGGGUUGUAAAGCACUUUCAGUGAGGAAGAACGCCUGGUGGUUAAUACCCAUCAGGAAAGACAUCACUCACAGAAGAAGCACCGGCUAACUCCGUGCCAGCAGCCGCGGUAAUACGGAGGGUGCGAGCGUUAAUCGGAAUUACUGGGCGUAAAGCGCGCGUAGGUGGCUUGAUAAGCCGGUUGUGAAAGCCCCGGGCUCAACCUGGGAACGGCAUCCGGAACUGUCAAGCUAGAGUGCAGGAGAGGAAGGUAGAAGUCCCGGUGUAGCGGUGAAAUGCGUAGAGAUCGGGAGGAAUACCAGUGGCGAAGGCGGCCUUCUGGACUGACACUGACACUGAGGUGCGAAAGCGUGGGUAGCAAACAGGAUUAGAUACCCGUGUAGUC